CUGCAGCUCAAGUGGUGACCACUAUUAUUGGGCCUAAAACGUUCGUAGCCGGUUUAGUAAAUGCCUGGGUAAAUCGAGCCGCUUAACGGUUCGACUUCCGGGUAGUCUGCUAAACUUGAGACCGGGAGAGGUUAGAGGUACUCCUGGGGUAGAGGUGAAAUUCUGUAAUCCUGGGGGGACCACCAGUGGCGAAGGCGUCUAACCAGAACGGGUCUGACGGUGAGGGACGAAGCCCUGGGGCGCAAACCGGAUUAGAUACCCGAGUAGUCC
RNAcentral lists this ribosomal RNA (270 nucleotides) under uncultured archaeon. RNAcentral's name for it is "partial 16S ribosomal RNA". It matches the Rfam family "Archaeal small subunit ribosomal RNA", at positions 477 to 747 of the family's 1478-position model. The record is from RNAcentral.